This is a long non-coding RNA of Heterocephalus glaber (naked mole-rat), 833 nucleotides long. RefSeq lists it as uncharacterized. NCBI's taxonomy places the organism in Eukaryota, Metazoa, Chordata, Mammalia, Rodentia, Bathyergidae. The record is from RefSeq and is a predicted model, not a curated record.
CAGCCCCAAGGACUUAAGAUUUUAAGCCAGGCUGUGUGGCUUUUAAAAUCUAUGGUAUGUUGCUUAAUUAUUGGAAAUGUAAUGACUGAUUAAAAUUAAAAGUAUUAGCAAAAGCACGGUGCGUUUCCAGGAAAGGCAACACUAAAAGUAAUUGCAGAACUCUGGGGACGUAACAGGAGCCAUGCAGUAAUAAAGCAUCGAAUGGACGGAACGAAGAGUCAUUCAAGUAGGGGACGGUGGGAUUUUGAGGCGUCCAGAGUUUGGGUGAAACACUCUCAGAAAAGAGCAAGCAGAGGUUCAUUGAGCUGGGGAAGUCCAGACAGAAUGGAGAACUGGUGGUGCAUCAGAAUGAGGUGCUGUGGGGAUGCUCAGCAUCCCCUUUGUUUUUGAAUCUUUUCAACGAAGCUGUUUCCUGGUGAUAUCACAGUGAAUUGUUGGGGAAGAUGUGAGAUUUGAAGCUUGGAAAUUUGGAGAUCCCUCUUUAGAAAGUCCUGUUCUCGAACAACCCUCUAGCUUUAUGGACCCCAAGGACUUGCUUAAUGGCUCUGAUCUCAGCCCAAGAAAGAAUGUCAUAGAGCAGAUGUUGGUGCAAUUUUGGAUAAAAAAGAAUCACAAAAGCAACACAGGACAGCACAUAAAAUCACAUACUUGGAAAGGCACAGAUUGACAAAAUUUAGAAAACAGUAACAUUUCAUUAUAUAAGAGAAUCGGGGCAGCCCCAUAGGUGUUUAUGUAAUAUAAUUUGCCCAUGAUUUUCAAACCAGCAAAAUCCUCUCUUAAAUGUCCACAUCAUCCACCUUGGACUUCCUUUACAUUAAAAUAUGUCCUAUGUC